GAAACCACUUACUGUAAUGGUUUGUGGGUGAUACCCAAUGCCAUCCAGGAAGAGUUAAGAGAGUCUUACAGGAAACUGGUCUUGAAUUACUACCCUGGUGAGAAUCCAAAUAACAAACAGAAGUGUAAACAGAUUUCUCAAGCUUAUGAAGUGCUCUCUGAAGCAAAGAAAAUUGAAUUAUUUGAGAAAAGAGGAGAGUGGGCAAUUAAAAAGGGUGAAGUGAGUGGCAGUUUUGGCUCCCUCAUGGACAUCGUUGAUAUGUUAUUUGAAGGAAGAGGAAGGAUGCAGAGAGAAAAAGAGGUAAAAAUAUUGUGCAUCAGCUCUCAGUAACCACAGAAGAUGUAUUUAAUGGUGCAACAAGAAAAUUAGCUCCAUAAAAUAAUGUGAUUUGUGGCAAGUAUGUAGGCCAAGGUGGUAAGAAAGGGGCAGUAGAGUGCUGUCCCAAUCACUGAAGUACUAGAAUGCAAAUAAGAAUUCAUCAGAUACGACCUAGAAUGGCUCAAGAAUUUCAGUCUGUGUGCAUGGAAUGCCAGAGCCAUGGGGAGGAGAUCAGUCCUAAAGAUAGAUGUAAAAGUUGCAAUGGAAGGAGGAUAGUUUGAGAGAAGAAGAUUCUACAAGUUCAUGACAAAGGCGUGAAAGACGAACAGUAGAUAUCUUUCAUGGUGAAGGAGAUCAGGAGCCAGGAGAUAUUAUCAUUGUUUUAGAUCAGAAGGACCAUACUUUCUUAUUCGACCAGAAGACCUUUUCAUGUGUAUGAACAUAAAACUGAUUGAAGCACUGCAUGUCUUCCAAAAGCCAAUAUCCACCCUUGACAACCAAACCCCAGUCAACACCUCUCAUCCCCCAACUCAGAUUGUCAAGCAUAGAGAUAUUAAGUGUGCGCUAAAUGAAGGCAUGCCAGUUUAUUGUAGAUCCUAUGAAAAGGAUCACCUAAUCAUCAAAUUUAAGGCCUACUUCCGUGAGAAUGCCUUUCUGUCUCCUGAUAAACUCUCUUUGCUGGAAUAACUCCUGCCUAAGAGGUAGGAAGUAAAAGACGCUGAUGAAAUGGAUCAAGUACAUCUGGUGGACAUUGACCGGUAUCAGCAAAGAUGGGCAAUUACAAUGGAGAAGCUUAGGAGGAUGAUGAACAUCAUACCAGUGGUGGUGUUCAGUGUCAAACCUCUUAA
Molecule: long non-coding RNA, 1166 nt
Filed under: Homo sapiens (human)
Lineage: Eukaryota; Metazoa; Chordata; Mammalia; Primates; Hominidae
Description: non-protein coding lnc-HS3ST5-3:1
Source: RNAcentral